Molecule: long non-coding RNA, 585 nt
Organism: Ornithodoros turicata
Lineage: Eukaryota; Metazoa; Arthropoda; Arachnida; Ixodida; Argasidae
Exons: 4
Source: RefSeq, a predicted model, not a curated record
UUGCCACCUGUGUACACUGACGCGGGAGAAGACGACUCGCAAGGCAUUACCAUACCCGAAAAUUAUUCUGAUGAUGACUCCAGGUACAAGAUGGACAAUCUGAAAGCAGGAAAAAAGUGUGGAAUAUGUGCCAUCAUAAAAGUUAAGACUCCUGGCACGCAAGAAGAAUCGGCAGCUGAAGCAGACGUCAAGACCAUAAAAAGUGUAUUUGGUGACGUCAUUGGCUUUGACGUUAAAGUUUACAGCGUUCCCACACCAGCAGAUAUCCGCCAAAAGCUCAAAACGUGUAAAGACGAUAUUGACAAGGAUUCAUCGUGAGCAUCAGAUUGCUUCGCCUGCUUUGUGCUGGGUCACGGCAAGGAAGAUAUCACGUUCCCUUUCGGCGGCGAACUGAUUGACCUGGAAUACAUCUACGAACAGUUCAGUAGCAAAGUCUGCACGAAGCUUCUUGGGAAACCCAAAUUGUUCUUCUUCCAUACGUUACGUGGCUGGAAACAGGGAGGCGAACAUCACUUUGCUGACGGUCCGAGCAAGACUACAAGUGUGCCUUCACAUGCUGAUUUCUUUAUCUUCGAGAGUACCUGG